AAAAGCAUCCUCUGUGGCAUCCCAAGUGUUGUGCCCUACUUGACUUACCUGUCUUGCUUGUCUUUCUGUGCCACACUGAGGAAUUUUCUGGCACUGAUGAGGAAGCCAAAGCCACCAAAGUGAACUGACUUACUGAAGGACACAACUGUGAGAGAAUGAGGUGGAAUAAAACGACAAGAGUUGGAGUUGAGUAAAGGGAAUGGAGAAGAAGAGGGUGAAAUGAAAUCAUCAACAAAUGACAAGAGAAGAGAAGGAAGCACAGAUAAGUGGUAUAGCUUUGAAAGUUAUGUGUUGAAUGUGGUAUAAAAGCAAACUCCACAUGCCAGAGAUUCAUUCUUUUGUAGGCCCAUGCCUUUUGUGUUUUACAAUGUCACUGAACAUACUUUUUUGAUUCAGUGUAUAUUUAGUUUGUAAUUUUAAUAAUUAAAGAAUAAAAUGGGACACAGUUGAAUCAGAUGAGGCCGAGUAGGAUAGUGUCAAUAGAUGUGGUAAUGGAGUAGAUUAGAAGAAGAGAUGGAGUGGGGGGUAGAAUGGAAUUGAGAUGAGUGGAUUGGAAUGGGGAUAGACUGGAAUGGCAUGGAAAAUUCCAGGCUCUCCUCUUUUGGGUGAUUCUUCAUCUUCAGG
Sarcophilus harrisii (Tasmanian devil) is the source of this 624-nucleotide long non-coding RNA. RefSeq lists it as uncharacterized. Lineage: Eukaryota; Metazoa; Chordata; Mammalia; Dasyuromorphia; Dasyuridae. The transcript has 3 exons. The record is from RefSeq and is a predicted model, not a curated record.